This 964-nucleotide ribosomal RNA is filed under the name marine metagenome. RNAcentral's name for it is "bacterial SSU rRNA". It matches the Rfam family "Bacterial small subunit ribosomal RNA", at positions 265 to 1247 of the family's 1533-position model. The record is from RNAcentral.
CUACCAAGACUGUGAUCAAUAGCUGAUUUGAGAGGAUGAUCAGCCACAUUGGGACUGAGACACGGCCCAAACUCCUACGGGAGGCAGCAGUGGGGAAUCUUGCACAAUGGAGGAAACUCUGAUGCAGCGAUGCCGCGUGAGUGAAGAAGGCCCUUGGGUUGUAAAGCUCUUUCGUCGGGGAAGAAAAUGACUGUACCCGAAUAAGAAGGUCCGGCUAACUUCGUGCCAGCAGCCGCGGUAAUACGAAGGGACCUAGCGUAGUUCGGAAUUACUGGGCUUAAAGAGUUCGUAGGUGGUUGAAAAAGUUGGUGGUGAAAUCCCAGAGCUUAACUCUGGAACUGCCAUCAAAACUUUUCAGCUAGAGUAUGAUAGAGGAAAGCAGAAUUUCUAGUGUAGAGGUGAAAUUCGUAGAUAUUAGAAAGAAUACCAAUUGCGAAGGCAGCUUUCUGGAUCAUUACUGACACUGAGGAACGAAAGCAUGGGUAGCGAAGAGGAUUAGAUACCCUCGUAGUCCAUGCCGUAAACGAUGUGUGUUAGACGUUGGAAAUUUAUUUUCAGUGUCGCAGUGAAAGCGAUAAACACACCGCCUGGGGAGUACGACCGCAAGGUUAAAACUCAAAUGAAUUGACGGGGACCCGCACAAGUAGUGGAGCAUGUGGUUUAAUUCGAAGAUACGCGCAGAACCUUACCAACACUUGACAUGUUCGUCGCGACUUUAAGAGAUUAAAGUUUUCGGUUCGGCCGGACGAAACACAGGUGCUGCAUGGCUGUCGUCAGCUCGUGUCGUGAGAUGUUGGGUUAAGUCCCGCAACGAGCGCAACCCUCACUUUUAGUUGCCAUCAUUUAGUUGGGCACUCUGAAAGAACUGCCAGUGAUAAGCUGGAGGAAGGUGGGGAUGACGUCAAGUCCUCAUGGCCCUUACGUGUUGGGCUACACACGUGCUACAAUGGUAUAUACACAGAAG